UACGUAGGGUGCAAGCGUUGUCCGGAAUUAUUGGGCGUAAAGAGCUCGUAGGCGGUCUGUCGCGUCGGCUGUGAAAUCCCGAGGCUCAACCUCGGGUCUGCAGUCGAUACGGGCAAACUUGAGUGUUGCAGGGGAGACUGGAAUUCCUGGUGUAGCGGUGAAAUGCGCAGAUAUCAGGAGGAACACCGGUGGCGAAGGCGGGUCUCUGGGCCGAUACUGACGCUGAGGAGCGAAAGCGUGGGGAGCGAACAGG
RNAcentral lists this ribosomal RNA (253 nucleotides) under uncultured bacterium. RNAcentral's name for it is "partial 16S ribosomal RNA". It matches the Rfam family "Bacterial small subunit ribosomal RNA", at positions 524 to 776 of the family's 1533-position model. The record is from RNAcentral.